UACGUAGGUGGCGAGCGUUGUCCGGAUUUACUGGGCGUAAAGGGAGCGCAGGUGGUUUAUUAAGUCUGGUGUAAAAGGCAGUGGCUCAACCAUUGUAUGCAUUGGAAACUGGUAGACUUGAGUGCAGGAGAGGAGAGUGGAAUUCCAUGUGUAGCGGUGAAAUGCGUAGAUAUAUGGAGGAACACCGGUGGCGAAAGCGGCUCUCUGGCCUGUAACUGACACUGAGGCUCGAAAGCGUGGGGAGCAAACAGG
RNAcentral lists this ribosomal RNA (252 nucleotides) under uncultured bacterium. RNAcentral's name for it is "partial 16S ribosomal RNA". It matches the Rfam family "Bacterial small subunit ribosomal RNA", at positions 524 to 776 of the family's 1533-position model. The record is from RNAcentral.